Molecule: ribosomal RNA, 427 nt
Filed under: uncultured bacterium
Lineage: Bacteria
Description: partial 16S ribosomal RNA
Rfam family: Bacterial small subunit ribosomal RNA
Source: RNAcentral
UGGGGAAUAUUGGACAAUGGGCGAAAGCCUGAUCCAGCCAUGCCGCGUGUGUGAAGAAGGUCCUCGGAUUGUAAAGCACUUUAAGUUGGGAGGAAGGGCAUUAACCUAAUACGUUAGUGUUUUGACGUUACCGACAGAAUAAGCACCGGCUAACUCUGUGCCAGCAGCCGCGGUAAUACAGAGGGUGCAAGCGUUAAUCGGAAUUACUGGGCGUAAAGCGCGCGUAGGUGGGUUGUUAAGUUGGAUGUUAAAUCCCCUGGCUCAACCUGGGAACUGCAUUCAAAACUGACUGACUAGAGUAUGGUAGAGGGUGGUGGAAUUUCCUGUGUAGCGGUGAAAUGCGUAGAUAUAGGAAGGAACACCAGUGGCGAAGGCGACCACCUGGACUAAUACUGACACUGAGGUGCGAAAGCGUGGGGAGCAAACA